GAUGAACGCUGGCGGCGUGCUUAACACAUGCAAGUCGAGCGAACAGACGAGGCGUUUGUUCCUUUCACGUUAGCGGCGGACGGGUGUGAAACAUGUGGAAACCCUCCUUUAAUGUCUGGUAACAUUUCGGGACACGGGCUCUAAUCCCGGAUAAUCUCUUGCACCGCAGGGUUCAUUAGUGAAUUACGGUUUUGCUGUCUCUUCUCGCUGCUUCCGCGCUGCUUUAGCUGGUUGGUAAGGUAAAGGCUUACCAAGGCAACGAUGCGUAGCCGACUGGAGAGGGUGGUCGGCCACACUAGAACUGGAACGCGGUCCAGACUCCUACGGGAGGCAGCAGUAGGGAAUCGUCCGCAAUGGGCGAAAGCCUGACGGAGCAACGCCGCGUGAGUGAUGAAGGUCUUCGGAUCGUAAAACUCUGUUAUUAGGGAAGAACAAAUGUGUAAGUAACUAUGCACGUCUUGACGGUACCUAAUCAGAAAGCCACGGCUAACUACGUG
This 497-nucleotide ribosomal RNA is filed under the name uncultured bacterium. Its description in RNAcentral is "partial 16S ribosomal RNA". It matches the Rfam family "Bacterial small subunit ribosomal RNA", at positions 28 to 507 of the family's 1533-position model. The record is from RNAcentral.